Non-coding RNA from Neolamprologus brichardi, 4274 nucleotides. NCBI's taxonomy places the organism in Eukaryota, Metazoa, Chordata, Actinopteri, Cichliformes, Cichlidae. The record is from RefSeq and is a predicted model, not a curated record.
UCGGGACGUCCUACAACGCAUAGACGAGGAGCUUCCACAGCUUAAGUCUCAGUUGGAUCGGGAACUGGAAGAGGAGUAUCACCGCCUUCCCGAGGAGAUCUGCCAGCACCUACAGCUCGAGCUGCAAAACAAAAAUCUCCAAAAGAACGCGCUGUUCUCCGCCUUGUCCAAUCAUAGCAGUCCCAGUACAGGCUCGGGCCCGCCCUCCAACUGCUCCACGCCCUCUAACUCAUCAACGCCCAGUCGGAGCACUUUGCACAUGAGCCGGGACAAUAGCACCGUCUCUCUGGCCGAUUCCACUUCGUCGUCCACCACACCCGUCUUGUCAGACGCAGAAAUGUUGUUCAAUUAAAACUUUUACUCGUUCAAAGGAAUAUACAACAGGGGUCUAUAGUGAUUGUAAUGUGGGAUAGUAAUGAUGUAGAAUAUUUACUAAUUUUAUUCUUUCUUUUUAAUCCUGACCUUUUUUUGGUCUUGUCUACAGAGCUAUAUUAUUUUUUAUUUUGGCCGUUUUUGUCAGAAAACUCAUUGUGGAUUAUGUUGGAAUAAUUCAUAAGAAUCGUAACCAGAGCUGUUUUAUUUCAUUGUUCUUUUCUUGUCUUGCUUUUAAUGUCACCCCCCAUCAUUCCUAUUAUUUUGUGUGGUCAGUUAUCUUUUUUCCAGGCUUAUAAUGGCUUUAACCUCUUUUGUGGACUUUUCUGGAAAGCUUUAACCUGUGCAGAGGGGGGAGCAUAAUUAUAAACCACAUAAGUAGCUCCCAGCUCCUGAGAGUAAUGGUAAAGGGUACUUCUCACUACAAAUUUGAUCAGCUUUAUUUCUUCACAGCUUUAUCUCCUUGAGAAAGACAGGGGAAAUGAAACAGCCAAAGGAGAUUUUUAUUUUUCCCAGUUGUUAUGAGGUUAGAAAACUGCAUCCCAGAUGUGAGCAUGUGAGUAUCAGGACAGAUAAAACGGGAAAAGGGUGAUUUUAAAAUUCCAUUACAGCUGAACGUUUAGCUGUAAUGACAGUGGCUGACCAGCAGGUGGUGCUACAGCCUUAUCCAUUUUAUUUUUUUUAAAUUGGUGAUUUGAGCUGUCUGUGCAUGCAGCCUGAUAAUCCUAUUAGACUGUACCCCAACACACACGCCUGCACAUGCACACCUGGAUUUGCCGCGUCAUCGGUGGGGAUGAAGCCUCUGCCCUUUAACCCUCCAUGAAAUUGCAGCCAAUGAGGAAGGGGCAGAGGAGGGAGGGGGCAUGAGCGCACAUCCAUCUGGCUACAAAUUAUGAGGAGUUUUGGUGACGCAACACUCGCUUUCUAAAACAUGUGGGCAUCUCUCUCAACACAUAUACACAGUUUAUUGGUUCAGAAACCCAAAGUCUCUAAAAUCCUCAUCCCAUCCAAUCUGCUCCACGUAGAUGCGUAUUUAACGCACAAUAGGGACAAAUCAAAAUAAUUUUUUCCAAAUAUCAGCGAUUAUGACACUCAAGGGAAUUCGAGUGUGUAUGUGUGUGUGGCCAGAAUUUAAUCUGUUGAUGAGGCAUCUGCUUGUGGGGACAGUAAUACUUCUUACUAAAUGGAGAGAGUUGGUGUGUAUGCACUUCUGUUGGUGCAGUUAGUUUGACGUCAAAAGCUAAAGUAGUGCCAUUACUGUAGACGCCAGUCUGAUGAUGACACAGAGCGGCACUAUGACAUCUUAAUGUAAAAAUGCACUCAUUUUUCUUCUUUUUUUAAAUUAAGGCUUUCUAUUAGUGUGGUAUUAAUUAUUUAAUGCUGCUUGAACUUCACUAAAGCCUCAAAAAUACCACUUGCAUGUUUCCAUUUUUUUUUAAAAUGGACAUAAGGUACAUGUACAUUUUAUGUUAGCUUAAAUAUGCCCUUCCCACACAGUUCCUUCACUGUAUUGGAUAGCCAAAAAUGGUGUGUGGCAUGGUGAUGUACAAACUGAAUGGUACAUUUAAGUUAAAUAUCAGUUUCUGUCUCUUGCAGAGCUCCCUGUUUAGCUGUAUAUAUUUGAUUUUUUUCCUCUUUACUUUUUUGUCAGUUUAACAGCAGCGGUCUUUGUUUUCUUUUCUCGUCCUCAUCGAAGGGGGAAACGAUGGUACUUUAUUUGUGUGUACUGUGUAGGUAUUUAGCUGUAUGUGAAUUUUACUACUGACCACAAGUGCUGAUGAAAGAUGGAGGUGAGAGAGGUCAAAGACGGCUGAGAAGAGAAACGUGGGUUUCAUUUAAAUGUUUUCUCAAAGAAAAUAACUAUUGGAUGACGUUUUGGGAGUCCUGUCUUGUCCUCUCCUACGUCCAUCCUUCGAUGAGCACUGGCUGCCUGUAUUGUCUGUCUGAUUGCCCCCUUCACACACAUCAUGUAAACUGUCAUCUUUUGAAACUGAAUUUUAUACAACUUUUUGUCUUUUAUUGUGAUUCAAGUCUUUAUUGAUGAAAGACUGUGUCUAUUCAGGCUGCUGAAAAAUGAAACCCUUCAUAUCAAGUCCCCAUCACAGACUCAGUAUGUGUGUUAUUUUUUUUUGGCAUUUUAAUAUAUCUGACGAUUUAAUGGCGCUGUUCUUUGUUCUCAAAAAGGAAAUCUUUGAAACUAAUAACAGUUUUGCUUUGGUUGGUUUUUCAUAUAGGUCAACAGUAGGAUAGGAUGAUUUUCUGUGCCAUGCUCCAUAGAGUAGACCUACAUGUGCAUGCUUAUUUGUGUAGUGUGUUAUAGAUUUGAGCCUUUAUUUCCAACGUUGGUCUCAGAGGUGAAACUCUCAAAUAAUUUUACUUGCCAAAAAUGUCAACAUACUCCUCGCAGGUCGUCUGUUUUAUAGGUCAGCUUGGUCCAAGCGAUUUAAUUCAAUACUUUUUAUAGUGCCAAAUCACAGCACAAGUCAUCUCAGGGCACUUUACAUAGUAAGAUCAAUACUCUAUAAUAUUUCAAAGGGGGGAAAAAAAACAAAGAGUUAAGGACUUGGCAACAGUGGCAAGGAAAAACCCCCUUUUAACAGGAAAUGACCUCUGGCUUGACUACGCCCACUGAGGCUAGCCAUCUGCCUCAGCUUAUUGGGGCUGAGGGAGGAGCAAAGAGAGGAAAAAAGCACUGAGAAACAAAAGUCCAACACAUUCCAUAUCCAGUUAACACUAUCUAAUGUCCUUGAACUUCAUAAAGUCAUGACUAUUGGGUACUCGAGGUUUUUCCAUUCCUGUUUUUGAGGAGAAACGUACAUCCCAUUUUUCAUCUCUUUAUGUUUAAAUGCACUUUUACUCUAUUUUACGUGUAUAUAAAAACCUUUAGUUCCUGUGACGCCGACAUCAAUGCAACUACUUUCUAAGGAUUUUACUUUUUGUGUAACGUAUCAGCCGUUGUUUAUUUUGUGUACAAGAAAGGUUUUCCUCUUUGCACUUUGAGCUUGGAUUUAUUUUGUACUGUUCUUUUGGGUUUUGGAUGGAAAAUGUCAUCGCAUCCUAAAUGAGAGUUUUUAGAUUUUAAAAUUUUAGUGAGAAAUCAAACACAAGUCAUGCAUUGCUUGCCAGAAGCCACAUUUCUAAGCAGAUCUGAGAUUUCCAUGUGGAAGUCCAAUUUAAUAAUGCAACUCUUUUCUCUGCUGUUCGCAGGAAAUGUAUCUGUGUAUGCAAGUGAAUAAGUAGGCUACAGUAUUUCAAAUUCGUUUUUUCUUUUUGUGCAAAGCUUUUGAUAUAUGGACUCUUACUCUACUGUAGAAAUUCAUGUUGUCAGUGGCUUUACAGAUGAUGUACAGUGUCUUUAUAGAUGAGCUAAGACAAAGAUUUUAAAACCUUUUACAGAUGUCAGCUUAAUAUUAAUUUAUUUUAAGUAUAUUGGUGGGAUAACCUUCUGAGGCUAGGGGAAAAAGAGGAGGAGUCCAGUCUUCUUAAUAUAACGAUUAUAGGAUGUAUGUAUCUCCUCCUUCAUGAGUGGGCCAGUCUUUGCACGAGCAUCGUCUCACACUGCGAUUAUUAACAUUUUAUUAUAAAUUCUUUUGAUUUCCGUAUUUUUCAUCCCCCGCAAGUGCAAUGUUAAAUUGUCCAUGUGUGUUUAUUUUAGGUGUCAACAUAUGUCGCCCAUAUGUAACUUAACUUUGAAAAAUUUGUAUCGUUCGUGGAAUUUUAUUUGAGUCGCCCCUAAAUAUGGAAUGAAGAAUUUGAAAAAACACCGCUGGCCUGGCAACAACCACCAGUGAGGCAGUGAAAUAAUUAUAGUUUGAUAGUUUGGCAUGUAAAGGGUAGCAAGUGAAAAAUAAAUGUAAAAGUAUUUGCAUAGUCUAUUUAAAAAAAAAAAAAAAAAAAAAAAA